GGUCUAUUAGCUUAUAAAAAGUCUUGAAUUCUUACUUCAUUGGAAAAGAAAAACUAAUUUCUUAUAGAUCA
This 71-nucleotide transfer RNA is filed under the name Obrimoposthia wandeli. RNAcentral's name for it is "tRNA-Lys". The record is from RNAcentral. Lineage: Eukaryota; Metazoa; Platyhelminthes; Tricladida; Uteriporidae.